This 196-nucleotide ribosomal RNA is filed under the name uncultured bacterium. RNAcentral describes it as "partial 16S ribosomal RNA". It matches the Rfam family "Bacterial small subunit ribosomal RNA", at positions 338 to 525 of the family's 1533-position model. The record is from RNAcentral.
CCUACGGGAGGCAGCAGUGGGGAAUUUUGCGCAAUGGGGGAAACCCUGACGCAGCAACGCCGCGUGGGUGAUGAAGGCCCUCGGGUCGUAAAGCUCUGUCUGGAGGGAAGAAAUGAUUGGGAGCUAAUACCUCUUGAUCUUGACGGUACCUCUGAAGGAAGCACCGGCUAACUCCGUGCCAGCAGCCGCGGUAAUA